This 490-nucleotide ribosomal RNA is filed under the name uncultured bacterium. RNAcentral's name for it is "partial 16S ribosomal RNA". It matches the Rfam family "Bacterial small subunit ribosomal RNA", at positions 30 to 507 of the family's 1533-position model. The record is from RNAcentral.
AUUGAACGCUGGCGGCAGGCUUAACACAUGCAAGUCGAGCGGUAGCACAGGGGAGCUUGCUCCCUGGGUGACGAGCGGCGGACGGGUGAGUAAUGUCUGGGAAACUGCCUGAUGGAGGGGGAUAACUACUGGAAACGGUAGCUAAUACCGCAUAACGUCGCAAGACCAAAGAGGGGGACCUUCGGGCCUCUUGCCAUCAGAUGUGCCCAGAUGGGAUUAGCUAGUAGGUGGGGUAAUGGCUCACCUAGGCGACGAUCCCUAGCUGGUCUGAGAGGAUGACCAGCCACACUGGAACUGAGACACGGUCCAGACUCCUACGGGAGGCAGCAGUGGGGAAUAUUGCACAAUGGGCGCAAGCCUGAUGCAGCCAUGCCGCGUGUGUGAAGAAGGCCUUCGGGUUGUAAAGCACUUUCAGCGAGGAGGAAGGUGGUGAGCUUAAUACGUUCAUCAAUUGACGUUACUCGCAGAAGAAGCACCAGCUAACUCCGUG